Molecule: ribosomal RNA, 396 nt
Filed under: uncultured bacterium
Lineage: Bacteria
Description: bacterial SSU rRNA
Rfam family: Bacterial small subunit ribosomal RNA
Source: RNAcentral
AGUAACAUCCGGAAACGGGUGCUAAUACCGCAUAGUUUCUUGAUCGCAUGAUCGGGAAAGGAAAGACGGCCUUUGUGCUGUCGCUUAUGGAUGGACCCGCGGCGUAUUAGUUAGGUUGGUGAGGUAACGGCUCACCAAGACGAUGAUACGUAGCCGACCUGAGAGGGUGAUCGGCCACAUUGGGACUGAGACACGGCCCAAACUCCUACGGGAGGCAGCAGUAGGGAAUCUUCCGCAAUGGACGAAAGUCUGACGGAGCAACGCCGCGUGAGUGAAGAAGGGUUUUUUCCGGAUCGUAAAACUCUGUUGUCAGAGAAGAACAAGUUGGAGAGUAACUGCUCCAGCCUUGACGGUAUCUGACCAGAAAGCCACGGCUAACUACGUGCCAGCAGCCGC